UAGGUAUAUGUUACUUAUAUUUUUUGUUUUUACUUAUAAUUGUGUCAUCAUUGUAUAUUCGUAAAUUCUUUCCUACAGUAACCCUCCUAACACUGUUGAUAACACACUCAUGUUUGUACAUUAGGCAGCUACCUGACAGUCGGUUAGCUUAGCUUAGCUUAGCUUAAAGAUAGGAAAGAAGAGGGAAACGACUCACCUGGAUUGACUCUAAAGGUAAACAAAUAAAUAAAUAAGACUCCCGCACCUUUUAAGCUUUAUGUGCCGUUUGUUUAACUAGUACCAAACAAAACUGUAAGAAAAAAAACCCAAACAAACAGACAGACAAACAUAAAUUUGAUGUUGUACUUGAAGUUUUGUGACGGACUACUUUUUUGCCACGACUUCCUGGUAUCCCUGCUGGUUGGGUCCGUGUACAUUUUGGCAAUUGGAUUUUCCGUUCUGAAACGGGUAUUGAAAAACAAAAAACAAGUGGUUAUUUGAUUUUCGUUUUAAAAUACAAAAAAUAAAAUUGAAAUAUAAUGCGUUUUUCCUUUUCAUGAUCAAAAAGGGAUACACGAAAUUUUAAAAAUGCUUUGAUUUUCAUUUUAUAUUUAGAAUAACAAAAACGUAAAAUCAGUAAGAGACAGAAUCGAAAAAAGGUCCGUUUUUUUCAUUUUAUGAGACCGGAAGUGGUCAUCAGCAAGUGUGGAGCCAAACAGAGUACGGUGCAUAGACUGUAUAUAAUUUUUUUUCGUUAGUUUUCAUGGUCAAACUGACACAUCAGGUGGCUGAUCUUAAAAUAAAUAAAUAUUGAAUUUUUUAUAGCGCGUUAAAGUUUUGCGAAGCCAGGGGGCGGGGUUACUUGAUUGACAGUCCGGUCUGGAAUGAUUGACAGGUCCUAUGGAGGAGGAAGCAGAGACUCUGUUCUCCUCAUUUGGAUUAAUUCUGAUAUAAUAACUGUUGGUUUAUUUAUCGGUGGAGCAGCAGAACCUUUUCCACAGACAGUUUUCCUGCCCGUUGGCUUGUGUUGACCAGUUUUCUGCCUUCAGCUGAUUCUACCAGCAGACACUGAAAGGUCUUGUUCGGUGUCUCAUAUUCACUGUGAGGAUCUUCUGAUUGAAGCCAACAGAAGAAAAACCUCAUCUGGUUGUGAAGAAGGAGACUGAAUGGAUGACAUCCUCAGUGAACCAUUUCCUGUUUAACUUUCACUUACAGAAGGACAGAAACAAGACAAGUUGUAUUAUGAAGAGAGGAGCUGAAUCUGCAGCAUUAUUAUUAUUACUGGAAGGAUGAGGAGGACAUCAGUGCUGCUCUUCCUCACAGUGAUGAAGGAGAGAAGAUUCUUCAGACAACCACAGCUGGAUGUUCAUGUUCUCUGUAGCUCUCAGUCCAUCAGACCAGAUGUUCCCAAUGAUCCAGACCAAGGCUAGAAGGAAAAUACACUAACAAAGCCGGAAGGGGGAGCUCUCCACCGCUAUGCUUCAUUCGGACUGGAGCUGCCGAGGAAGCAUUGCAUAUCGUGAGCGUGCGCUUUUUGAUCCUCUUCUUCAGAGUGAAAGUAGCAGUUCCUCCUUAAGGUCACAGAUUGCAGCAUCUGAGGGCCUCUUCAAAAGAAGACGUAGUUGAUGAAGGCGUUCUGGAGCAGGACCAGAAAGACCACGACCAAGCAGCCUCGAGAUCUUAGGCAGCGUCUCCCUCGGACCAAAGAACUACAGACUCUUGGUACAGGACCUCACUACACGGGUCAAGAAGGUUUCCAUCUCAUUUCUACUCUGAAGCUCACCUUCUCCUGCUCAAACUGCUGACAAAUGUUUCUGCUGCUCUAAAGUCUGGUCUCCAGAACUCCCUAAAAACUCUCAAAGUCUCUUCUGCUGCAGGUUGCUUUGUAGAACUGUUCCAGAAAACCUCACUAAAGCACACGGAGGGGCCUCAAGAUAGUCGUCCAAAUGACACCAUACAAAAACCAAACUAGCACAACCCAAACGCUAAAGUCUCCUGCAGCCUACCAGAGAACCUCUGAGAACAGAGAAUCAGGACAGGAACUCUUACCUUCUGGACAACCAACGUUGGUUCUCAAACAAGAAUACAGAAUGUGUCUGACCAGAAACCUCUGAAGACUCACUACAGCCAAGAUAAAGACACAGCUGCACCAAAUCCACUAAUCACUGCAGACAUUAGCACCAUGUGCUAACUGUGGCUAAAGAACCACAUUUACCAAGACAACUAUCCAGUACAAAGCCCUAAAACACACCAAGAAACACAUUAAAGACAAUUUUACUGCUGGAAGCUGCAAGCCAACGCCUAAAAAACAAACUAAAGCAAUGGAGCCAAACCCGAUUCAGUGGUGAAGAGAAACAGAGGAAAUGUUUGCCUGCAGCCACAUAAAGCAGGAAGACACUGAGCUGCUCAGGUGUUCCUGAUAACACCAAGCUGCUCAGGUGUUCCUGAUAACACCAAGCAGCCACCUGGACAGCCAAUAGGAACACAGCUUACUGGAAGUCCAGAGGGCUGGGUUAGUGAAGGAAAUUUAGUUUAAAGUUGAAGCAGAAAGUUAACAAAGUUGAAAACCACCUUCUGAUACCUGAAAUCUCUGAGUUUUCACACAAAGAACGCCUGAACAUGUCAAACUGGUUCCAUAGUAGAACCAUCAUUAUAAAAACGUCAUAUUAUGGUGUGUUGCUCAAACAACAUUAGGACCCGGCUGUCUAGGGUCGCUGAGCAGCAACACAAAAACAGGAAAAACGCUGGUUUCCAGGGGGUUAGGCGGGUAUUUAUUUGAAAGAGUAAGUUUACAAGAACACAACAUAUGAACAGAAAAAUCACAAACUCUGUCUUUAGUUCAGCUGAAAAUAUUAGUUUUUGUCUUUUUUAUUGACCAAACUUUUCAGGAAGUAGAUGAAGAAUAAUUAAAGCUCUCAUGUAGAAGUCCAACUUAUUUUGGAUCCUUGUGGAGAGUUUAAUCUUAGAGUUUGUAAAGCUGUUGAGUUUUUAGAGUCACAUGGAUUGUUUUGACAUUUAAUAACCGAGUCCUGAAAUAAAAUUACAGUUGUGGAUUUCUGUCAUUUAGUCUGGACUAAACAAAUAACAGCAGCAUAAAUCUCAAACGUCAUUAUGAGGAGUCUGGAUUGAGGUUUCUCACAUGAUAAUGAUCAAAACAUGAAAUUUAGGUUGGUUUAAAGGAAUAUUCCACCUUAAAUCUUUGACUGUUGACCUAAAAGGUUGGUUUCAGGAAGUAUUCCACCUACAAGGUCCUCAAACAUCCACCUUAAAGGAACAUUCCACCAAAAAUCCUUAGACAUGAACCUAAAAUGUUGGUUUAACCGAGUAUUCCAUCCAAAAUCCUCAAAGAGACCUGAGGGGCUGGUUAAAAGGAAUAUUCCACCUAAAACCUCAAAUAUAGACCUGAAAGGGUGGUUUAGAAAAAAAUGGUAGCAGUGGUGCAAUGGUUAAGUCUCUGGACUGCUGAUCAGAAGGUCAGUGGGUCAAACCUUGAUGUAGCCACCAUUGGACCCUUAAAAAAAAAAAAAAAAAAAAAACGUGGUUUAUUGUUUUUUUUAGAUUUUAUUUUGAAACGGAAAAACGAAUGAGCGAACCAUACAUGGAUUCAAAAUAUACACGGACCUGGUUGCCUGGCAACUGCGCAGCGCUAAGAACAGUCCUGAUUAAAAAAACAAGUUGUAACGAAUGAACUGAGCUUUUAGAGGUGUUUUUGAGUAGAUUUUGUCACCUUUGAACAGUGAACAUUUGGGAGUGAAACUUGUUUGCGGUCUUAGUUAAACCCUCUUCCAGGGAGCAAAUGUGUCCUUCAGCUUUUUUUCUACAGGUUUCAAAGAAAUGUUGGGCUGAAGUUUCAAGAGUCAGCAAACCUUUACAAUUCAGAAAUGUAAAUCCCACAUUAGUAUCAUAUUAUACAUAAGACAGGCUGCACCAACAAAUAUUAUUUAAUGACAUUAUUGCUAGUUUUACAUGGUUGAAAAUGAGUAAAGUAAUAUUAAAAAUUAAGUAGCUUUGCACACCAAGAAAGUCAAUCCAAGUUUAUUGAUGUAGAUUUGUUUCUGAGUUUCAUCAGUAAGGAGAUGCUUAAAUUAAGACAAAUUACUAAAAAAUAAAAAUGUGUACCAUUUACCCCCAGUGACUAUAAAAGAAGACGAGACACCAUUAACUUUCAGCACCCAUUGCAGAGACAGUGGAGAGAGUUUAUCAGACAGUGGAGAUGUGCAGGUCAGACGCAUAGACUGUAUAAUAAAGUUAUAGAGUCUUUGGUCAGAUGAGCAACAAGUGUCCAACCUCUGGAAACAUCCAGUCACAUAAAAUCUCUUUUCCAACUUUCCUGUUCAGCUUCCCGACAGUUUCCUUGUAGAACCGGUAUUUUCAGCAGCAUCAUAAAACUCAUCUGGGUUGAGUCUGUGCUUUAACUUUCUUAAUGGAACUUAAUUAGUUUCCUCAACUGAUCACAAAGAGGCAGCUGUUUGAAAAGGUAAAUCUCCUCCAAAGUAUGCUUAAAGUUCACACUGAAUCAUUUUAAUUAGAGUUUGGAAGCAACAGAAUAAAAUGUAUCAAGGUUCAGAGUGAAAACUAAACUGAGGUUUAAAUGGAAUCUCUUCAUUUUUAACUAGUUCUAAAGUUUGAAGCAAUGUAACUGAAUUUAAAGUGCAGCCCAGGAUUAAUGUUUAAUAGGACUCCUGUGCCCAUGAAGUGAGCUUAGUCAUCAGGUAUCACAUCUGCAAAAAAGCAAAAUACAAGCCCCAUUUCCCCAACACUGCUACACAUGUUGUAACUAGUGAAAUCUUUUUUUCAAAAUUAUACGACUACAUGAAUAAUAGGAGUCCUCUUAUACAGCCUUUGUUGUCACAGUGCCAGAGAUUUCAGAGAAGGAACAACACUUUGUUCUGGAGGAACGUGCACGGCUUCCACCGACUUGAAAACAAACACGUUUUCACACAUGAAUCCAUGUGUGUCGGGUUUGUUGAUUUCUUGAAGAAUGAGGUCGUGCAUCAAAUUCUGUUGACUAUAAAUUUGAUAUUUAAGCAUUAUUUUACACUUGUUUCGGGGGCCUAAUGAAAGUUUUGCUUUUUUUAUAUUCUAAAAUUUAAUGUAGUAUUUUUUUAAGGUAACAUAAAGCAGCACUGUUUUGGCUUUUAGGGCAAAUUAUUUGAAAACUUGAGCAUGUUCAUGAGAAGAAAGAAAGGAACAGAAACCCCCCAGAAGGUGAGAUGUAAAAGCCUGAUUUUUAGAUUAAUCAGAAAGACAUGUCUUUUUUUUAUACAUUCCUUAAAUGACAGAUGUUAGAACCCAGACACUAUUUUAUUUACUACAGAGGCAUUCAUUUCUCUCUACAAAACACAGCAAUAACAAACCAUCACAUGCUGAAAUCAUACCAAAGAAAUGAUGAGUUCUGUUUUUAGAACAUUUUUUGAACUGAGCCAUGUUGGUUUUUUAAAAAGCUGACUUUUCAAAUUGAGACAGAUGGUUACAAAUGUUGGCAUUGCUUUUUUGUUUGUUUUUUUAAUUUAGCCUUUAUUUAUACAUGUAAUCUCACUGAGACACUGGGUCUCAUUCUCAAGAGAGACCUGUGUAAUUGUAAUUUUUACACCUGAAAUCAUGAUUAUGAUUAAUAUCAACUUUAGAAUUCUUUUUUUAAAAUCUAAUCAAAUGCAACUAUGGCAUCUCAAAAACGUGCUGACAGUGCACUUUGCUGCCGGAGUUAAAAUAAAAAUUCUGUAAAAAUGUGGUCUCAAAAUAAAAACUGAGAAACGCAGAAACUCUGCAGACACUUCAGACAUGAACUGUGAUGCUCUGUGAAAAUGUAAGGCUGUUCCGGUGGACUGAUUUCUAUAAAAAACGUGUAGAUUUAAAGCAGAUUUCCUUACGUCUGUAUGAUUUGCAAACUGUCCCUAUUGGAUCAGUGUUACGAGAACAAAGGUUUCAUCUUAUGUUUUGCUUUAUGGACAUGUUUAGCCUUGAAAAAAAAUCAGUGUCAAUUAAAGACGAAAGUAAAAAGUAACAGAAGUUUUACUUGAAACUCAAAACAAAACUGGAGUUUGGAUAAAAUGCCUCUUCUGUUUUGUGUAACUGAAUGAGUCCGAUCAGUCGGCCGCUCGCCAUGAGAAAGUAAACAAAAAGCCAGAGACAGAAUUAAAGAAGCUGUGACUAAACUAAAGAGCUGAUUUACUCUCCAGUCACAUAAAACACCCAACAAAAGACAGAUCACCCAGUGAGCAGAAGGAAGACUACCAAUGCUGGCAGGCAAAGAGUGUCCUGUUUCUUCCAUUCAGUGAAUAAAAUCAAUGAGACAUUUAAUCAAGGCUCUUUAGUUGGGCUUUAAAAUUACACGGAUGAGAUUCAAAUUGUUCAUAGAAAUGAAAAACACUAAACGCUACUUUUUAAUGAAAGUCAUUUAUUUCUUAAAAGGUAUUGAUUAGUAUGUUUGCUUUUAUUCUUUAGCAAAUUCUUUAAAAAAAAAAAAAAAAAAAAAAUCAAAGUUCUCCACAGGAGACAUAUAGUUUGUUUCUGUGCUCAUUGAUCCCUUACAUUUUCUUGUUGUCAACUUUAAUUUCAAAUGAAUCAUUGCUGGUUCAAAUGAAUGAACUUGCUUAUUAUUUUUUCUGCCUCUUACUAUAAUUCUGCUUUGUCUUUUUUCUUCCCUUGAUUCUGUCCAUCGCUUGCAGCACAUCUGAAUCCAAGGUUGUCAGAGGCAGAGUCGGGAGUGUUGCCCAUCCUGCAGGACACAGAAUCACAUCAAUCAGUCAAUCAAGAAGGUCGUGUCGAAGUUCUGAGUCUGAAAAAAGAAAACGCUUUUCCAGUUACUCACCUGGUUGUGAUUUGAGCCUUGUGAUUGGCUGAUCCGUCCACCGUGUCGAUCCAGGAGGCGCCACGCAGCACAUACAUCGGCCUCGCUCCUGGAAAGGGUGUGGACGUCCACUCCCAUGUGUUUCCCAUCAUAUCAUACAGUCCUGCAAGAACAAUCAACAUGGUGCUUGUAAUAUUAUAAGGAGCAACAAUCAACCUUCAGAAUAUUUCAGUUUUCUUUAACCUCACAGAGACGUGAGAGUUUCUCAAAGCCACAAACUCACAGCAGACAAUCUCAGACUUAAGUUAACAACCUUAAAUGCAUUUUUGUAACAUUUUUUCUUUUUUGUCUAUUCAACUAAAGGUAAUUUGUUUACCAUGUAGUACUUCUAUCAUCUCAUUAAUGUGUUAUUUUUUUUUUACCAUAGCUGUUCUGUGGAGGAAAGGCUGUGACAGGAGCGGUGCCAUGGUAACCAUCCUCUGCAGUGUCUCCAUCUGGAAACAAUCCCUGAAACAUGCAGAAAAACCACCAGCUCAUUAUUACAAAUCAUGUUUUUUCACAUGAACGUGAUUGUUCUUGCAAAAGAAUGAAUGUCUGUCUACAACAUCUAUUAUUAUUCACUGAAAUAAAGAGCAAAGUCAAUA
This is a long non-coding RNA of Amphiprion ocellaris (clown anemonefish), 7413 nucleotides long. RefSeq lists it as uncharacterized. The record is from RefSeq and is a predicted model, not a curated record. The transcript has 5 exons. Lineage: Eukaryota; Metazoa; Chordata; Actinopteri; Pomacentridae.